ACGAACUGCGCAAACGUUAUUCGGAAUCACUGGGCUUAAAGAGUGCGUAGGCGGCUUUGUAGGUGGGGUGUGAAAUCCCUCGGCUCAACCGAGGAAUAGCGCUCCAAACCACAAAACUUGAGGGAGAUAGGGGUGAGCGGAACUGAUGGUGGAGCGGUGAAAUGCAUUGAUAUCAUCAGGAACACCGGUGGCGAAGGCGGCUCACUGGAUCUCUUCUGACGCUGAGGCACGAAAGCUAGGGGAGCGAACGGG
RNAcentral lists this ribosomal RNA (252 nucleotides) under uncultured bacterium. RNAcentral describes it as "partial 16S ribosomal RNA". It matches the Rfam family "Bacterial small subunit ribosomal RNA", at positions 525 to 776 of the family's 1533-position model. The record is from RNAcentral.